RNAcentral lists this ribosomal RNA (510 nucleotides) under uncultured Pseudomonadota bacterium. Its description in RNAcentral is "bacterial SSU rRNA". It matches the Rfam family "Bacterial small subunit ribosomal RNA", at positions 368 to 896 of the family's 1533-position model. Lineage: Bacteria; Pseudomonadati; Pseudomonadota. The record is from RNAcentral.
ACAAUGGGCGAAAGCCUGAUCCAGCCAUGCCGCGUGGGUGAAGAAGGCCUUAGGGUUGUAAAUCCCUUUCAGCGGGGAAGAUAAUGACGGUACCCGCAGAAGAAGCCCCGGCUAACUCCGUGCCAGCAGCCGCGGUAAUACGGAGGGGGCUAGCGUUGUUCGGAAUUACUGGGCGUAAAGCGCGCGUAGGCGGACUUUCAAGUCAGGGGUGAAAUCCCGAGGCUCAACCUCGGAACUGCCUUUGAUACUGUAAGUCUUGAGUCCGAGAGAGGUGAGUGGAAUUCCUAGUGUAGAGGUGAAAUUCGUAGAUAUUAGGAAGAACACCAGUGGCGAAGGCGGCUCACUGGCUCGGUACUGACGCUGAGGCGCGAAAGCGUGGGGAGCAAACAGGAUUAGAUACCCUGGUAGUCCACGCCGUAAACUAUGGGUGCUAGCCGUCGGAGAGCUUGCUCUUCGGUGGCGCAGCCAACGCAUUAAGCACCCCGCCUGGGGAGUACGGUCGCAAGAUUA